UGGGGAAUUUUCCGCAAUGGGGGGAACCCUGACGGAGCAACGCCGCGUGGGGGAGGAAGGUCUGUGGAUUGUAAACCCCUUUUCUCUGGGAAGAAGGUCUGACGGUACCAGAGGAAUCAGCAUCGGCUAACUCCGUGCCAGCAGCCGCGGUAAGACGGAGGAGGCAAGCGUUAUCCGGAAUUAUUGGGCGUAAAGCGUCCGCAGGUGGCCUUUCAAGUCUGCUGUUAAAGCCCAGGGCUCAACUCUGGAUCAGCAGUGGAAACUGAAAGGCUAGAGUACGGUAGGGGUAGAGGGAAUUCCCAGUGUAGCGGUGAAAUGCGUAGAUAUUGGGAAGAACACCAGUGGCGAAGGCGCUCUGCUGGGCCGUAACUGACACUCAUGGACGAAAGCUAGGGGAGCGAAAGGGAUUAGAUACCCCCGUAGUCC
This 426-nucleotide ribosomal RNA is filed under the name uncultured prokaryote. RNAcentral describes it as "bacterial SSU rRNA". It matches the Rfam family "Bacterial small subunit ribosomal RNA", at positions 355 to 796 of the family's 1533-position model. The record is from RNAcentral.